Non-coding RNA from Hemicordylus capensis (graceful crag lizard), 78 nucleotides. Lineage: Eukaryota; Metazoa; Chordata; Lepidosauria; Squamata; Cordylidae. The record is from the annotation of a RefSeq genome assembly.
GGGGAUGGGGCUGGAGCUCAGUGGAAGAGCAUCUGCUUUGUAUGCAGAAGGCCUCAGGUUCAAUUCCUGGCAUCUCCA